CGUAGGCAGCGAGCGUUGUUCGGAGUUACUGGGCGUAAAGGGUGUGUAGGCGGUUGUUUAAGUUUGGUGUGAAAUCUCCCGGCUCAACUGGGAGGGUGCGCCGAAUACUGAAUGACUAGAGUACGGGAGAGGAAAGUGGAAUUCCUGGUGUAGCGGUGAAAUGCGUAGAUAUCAGGAGGAACACCGGUGGUGUAGACGGCUUUCUGGACCGUAACUGACGCUGAAACACGAAAGCGUGGGUAGCAAACAGGAUUAGAUACCCUGGUAGUCCACGCCCUAAACGAUGCAUAUUUGGUGUGGGCAGUUCAUUCUGUCCGUGCCGGAGCUAACGCGUUAAAUAUGCCGCCUGGGGAGUACAGUCGCAAGGCUG
This 370-nucleotide ribosomal RNA is filed under the name uncultured organism. RNAcentral's name for it is "bacterial SSU rRNA". It matches the Rfam family "Bacterial small subunit ribosomal RNA", at positions 526 to 896 of the family's 1533-position model. The record is from RNAcentral.